Molecule: ribosomal RNA, 188 nt
Filed under: uncultured bacterium
Lineage: Bacteria
Description: partial 16S ribosomal RNA
Rfam family: Bacterial small subunit ribosomal RNA
Source: RNAcentral
GACUACAUGAAGCUGGAAUCGCUAGUAAUCGCAGGUCAGCAUACUGCGGUGAAUACGUUCCCGGGUCUUGUACACACCGCCCGUCACACCAUGGGAGCCGGAAAUGCCCGAAGCCAGUGACCCAACCUUAGGGAGGGAGCUGUCGAAGGUGGAGCCGGUAACUGGGGUGGAAGUCGUAACAAGGUAUC